Molecule: ribosomal RNA, 253 nt
Filed under: uncultured bacterium
Lineage: Bacteria
Description: partial 16S ribosomal RNA
Rfam family: Bacterial small subunit ribosomal RNA
Source: RNAcentral
UACGGGGGGGGCAAGCGUUGUUCGGAAUUACUGGGCGUAAAGGGCUCGUAGGUGGCCAACUAAGUCAGACGUGAAAUCCCUCGGCUUAACCGGGGAACUGCGUCCGAUACUGGAUGGCUUGAGUUUGGGAGAGGGAUGCGGAAUUCCAGGUGUAGCGGUGAAAUGCGUAGAUAUCCGGAGGAACACCGGUGGCGAAGGCGGCUUCCUGGACCGACACUGACGCUGAGGCGCGAAAGCUAGGGGAGCAAACGGG